GAUGAACGCUGGCGGCGUGCCUAAUACAUGCAAGUCGAGCGAACAGACGAGGAGCUUGCUCCUCUGACGUUAGCGGCGGACGGGUGAGUAACACGUGGAUAACCUACCUAUAAGACUGGGAUAACUUCGGGAAACCGGAGCUAAUACCGGAUAAUAUAUUGAACCGCAUGGUUCAAUAGUGAAAGACGGUUUUGCUGUCACUUAUAGAUGGAUCCGCGCCGCAUUAGCUAGUUGGUAAGGUAACGGCUUACCAAGGCAACGAUGCGUAGCCGACCUGAGAGGGUGAUCGGCCACACUGGAACUGAGACAGGGUCCAGACUCCUACGGGAGGCAGCAGUAGGGAAUCUUCCGCAAUGGGCGAAAGCCUGACGGAGCAACGCCGCGUGAGUGAUGAAGGUCUUCGGAUCGUAAAACUCUGUUAUGAGGGAAGAACAAAUGUGUAAGUAACUAUGCACGUCUUGACGGUACCUAAUCAGAAAGCCACGGCUAACUACGUG
RNAcentral lists this ribosomal RNA (497 nucleotides) under uncultured bacterium. RNAcentral's name for it is "partial 16S ribosomal RNA". It matches the Rfam family "Bacterial small subunit ribosomal RNA", at positions 28 to 507 of the family's 1533-position model. The record is from RNAcentral.